RNAcentral lists this ribosomal RNA (871 nucleotides) under uncultured archaeon. RNAcentral describes it as "bacterial SSU rRNA". It matches the Rfam family "Archaeal small subunit ribosomal RNA", at positions 1 to 878 of the family's 1478-position model. The record is from RNAcentral.
CUCCGGUUGAUCCUGCCGGAACCUGACUGCUAUCGGAUUGGUACUAAGCCAUGCGAGUCGUUGUAGCAAUACAAGGCGGACGGCUCAGUAACACGUAGUCAACCUAACCUAUGGACGUGGAUAACCUCGGGAAACUGAGAAUAAACCGCGAUAGAUCAUUAUGCCUGGAAUGGCUUAUGGUUCAAACAAUUUAUUGCCGUAGGAUGGGACUGCGGCCUAUCAGCUUGUUGGUGAGGUAAUGGCCCACCAAGGCUAUAACAGGUACGGGCUCUGAGAGGAGAAGCCCGGAGAUGGGUACUGAGACACGGACCCAGGCCCUAUGGGGCGCAGCAGGCGAGAAACCUUAGCAAUGUGCGAAAGCACGACUAGGUUAAUCCGAGUGAUUUCUGUUGAAGAAAUCUUUUGUCAGUCGUAAAACCACAGACGAAUAAGGGGUGGGCAAGUCUGGUGUCAGCCGCCGCGGUAAUACCAGCACCUCGAGUGGUCAGGAGGUUUAUUGGGCCUAAAGCAUCCGUAGCCGGCUACGCAAGUCUCCGGUUAAAUCCAGCUGCUCAACAGAUGGGCUGCCGGAGAUACUACAUAGCUAGGGAGCGGGAGAGGUAGACGGUAUUCUGUGGGUAGGGGUAAAAUCCACUGAUCCAUAGAGGACCACCAGCGGCGAAGGCGGUCUACCAGAACGCGUUCGACGGUGAGGGAUGAAAGCUGGGGGAGCAAACCGGAUUAGAUACCCGGGUAGUCCCAGCUGUAAACGAUGCAAACUCGGUGAUGCAUUGGCUUAUGGCCAAUGCAGUGCCGCAGGGAAGCCGUUAAGUUUGCCAACUGGGAAGUACGGACGCAAGUCUGAAACUUUAAGGGAAUUGGCGGGGGAGCA